RNAcentral lists this ribosomal RNA (842 nucleotides) under Vittaforma corneae. Its description in RNAcentral is "SSU rRNA". It matches the Rfam family "Microsporidia small subunit ribosomal RNA", at positions 279 to 1164 of the family's 1311-position model. The record is from RNAcentral. Lineage: Eukaryota; Fungi; Microsporidia; Nosematidae.
GGACGGCAGCAGGCGCGAAAAUUGCCCACUCUUUGCAGGAGGCAGUUAUGAGACGUGAAGAUGAGUAUCUUGUAAAGAGGGAUAGGAGAAUUGGAGGGCAAGUUUGGUGCCAGCAGCCGCGGUAAUACCGACUCCAAGAGUGUGUAUGAGAGAUGCUGCAGUUAAAAAGUCCGUAGUCAUAGAAGGGCAAAGAGAGAUGCGAGGUCUCACAGUGCGAUGAUGGAGGAGCCGAUGGGGAACAUAGUAUACCAGGGCGAGAGAUGAAAUGCCAAGACCCCUGGUGGACUGAGCGAGGCGAAGGCGAUGUUCUUGUAGGCAUUCGGUGAUCAAGGACGAAGGCUGGAGUAUCGAAAGUGAUUAGAUACCGCAGUAGUUCCAGCAGUAAAAGAUGCCGACAUGCUCAUUGGACACAGUGGGCAGGGAGAAAUCUUAGAGUUCGGGCUCUGGGGAUAGUAUGCUCGCAAGGGUGAAAAUUAAAGAAAUUGACGGAGCUACACCACAAGGAGUGGAUUGUGCGGCUUAAUUUGACUCAACGCGAGGAAACUUACCAGGGCCAAGUAUUGUGUAGAAACGAGCAAUACAGGAGUGGUGCAUGGUCGUUGGAAAUUGAUGGGAUGACUUUGACCUUAAAUGGUUGAAUGAGUGAGAUCUUUUGGACAUGUUCCGCACGGAACAGGAAGGAAAAGGCUAUAACAGAUCCGAGAUGCCCUCAGAUGCCCUGGGCUGCACGCGCAAUACAAUAGCAGGUAGAGAGAGAGACAGGAAGGUGCUCAGAUGGACUAUGUGCUGUAAGGCACAUACGAAAGAGGAAUUCCUAGUAAGUGUGUAUCAACAAUGGAUAU